This 313-nucleotide ribosomal RNA is filed under the name uncultured Thiobacillus sp. Its description in RNAcentral is "bacterial SSU rRNA". It matches the Rfam family "Bacterial small subunit ribosomal RNA", at positions 1060 to 1382 of the family's 1533-position model. Lineage: Bacteria; Pseudomonadati; Pseudomonadota; Betaproteobacteria; Nitrosomonadales; Thiobacillaceae. The record is from RNAcentral.
UCGUGUCGUGAGUGUGGGUUAAGUCCCGCAACGAGCGCAACCCUUAUCAUUAGCUGCUACGCAAGGGCACUCUAAUGAGACUGCCGGUGACAAACCGGAGGAAGUGGGGAUGACGUCAAGUCCUCAUGGCCCUUAUGGGUAGGGCUUCACACGUCAUACAAUGGUCGGUACAGAGGGUUGCCAAGCCGCGAGGCGGAGCCAAUCCCACAAAGCCGAUCGUAGUCCGGAUUGUUCUCUGCAACUCGAGAGCAUGAAGUCGGAAUCGCUAGUAAUCGCAGGUCAGCAUACUGCGGUGAAUACGUUCCCGGGUCUU